GGGAGCAGCUUGAGUCUUGCCUUAGCGUCGUGGCGUUAGCAGGACUGGUUUACAUUGCGGGGGGGGAGUUGUGUUAAUAGGGGCUGAGAGGUGCGGCGCGUCCCGGCUUAGCGUGAUGCGUGGCAGGAUGUCGUGGAUGCGUGGCGGCUUACCAAAGAUUGGGAGGCCCUGCAUUGCUUGGCGGGGGUUGGGGGGAUCUGCUUGUCGCGCUAAACAACCCAUUAAGGCGCCGCCGCGAUGCAUCACCUGCCGCAUCCGGUCCAGGGAGCCCACCGCCCCCACUAUCCCCCCAGCAGCGUCCAGGCGAACAAAGGAGCAUGAAUGUUUCAAAGCAGUACUAAUAGUAGUAACAGAAACAGCAACAUUAACGGUAGCAGUUGUACAUCGCUUCGCUCCUUCAACGGUGCCGCAAUUGACUGACGCCUGACCUCCGUCCUGAGCCUCCCAGCACACAACAUUCUUCAGACAAGAAAGUGACGCCGUUCAUUUUGUCCUCGACUUAACACAGCGUCCCACAGAGGCGCCCACCACCUACACCCCGACUGUGCUAAGUCCUCGACAGACGCACCACCGCUGCCUGGCUGGCUCUGGUGCACUGGACGGCUCGUGGUAUGAGGUGAAGGUUGCUCGAGUCUGACUCAUGGCGAGGCAAGAGGAAGGAACGGAACAGAGGUGUGACACUCCCCGCCAGCCACGCUCCUUACGCUCCUUCCUGAGUACAGAUGUCAUUGUUAAGUCGUAGAAGAAACUGAUCCUUGGCUUCGAAAAAUUAAAAACAGCACUUGUACCUUCCUAUAACAUUGCAGUACAACACUUAAACCAGCAAGACUGUAAGAGUGUGACGACUUUCUGAGUGAGGAUCAUCCUUCCUGAUGCCUCGUAGUGCUCCAUCGCGGCCCUCAACCUCCCUCCAGCUCUCAUAGCCCCGGAAUCCCGAACGAUCCCUUAAGUCUUAGGUCCAUAUUCUGAAACACUUCUGCCUGCACGUCGACUACUUUCAGAAGGCUUUAGUUGAAGUGAAGCGUGUCUCUAAGGGUAUCUUUAUGGUUCUAGUGACAGAUUAACAAGAAUUUUGGAUUAUUGAAUGGAGAAACACACUUGAGAACCCGACAAAUUGUUUUCAAAAGGGUGUAGUUAAAGUGACGCGGGUUUUUAAAAGAUGUUUUUUAAAGGUUUUGCUGAUAGGUGAACAAAAUAUUCAUGUUAUUAACUCGGGAAACACACUUGAAAACCCGGUUAUUAUUUUCAAAAGUUAGUAAUUGAAGUGACGCGGAUAUUUGAAGAUGUUUUUUCAAGGUUUUAGUGAUAGAUGAACAAGAUUUUUACAUUAUUGACAUCGGAAACACUUUUGAGAACCCUGCUAAUUACCUCUCUUACCUUUGAAAACAGUCACGUUGAGAGAGCAGUAUUUCUGAACACGGGUGAUGGCCCUGGUAGGUACAUCGCGUCUCUUUCUCCCUCCAGCCGUGAAAGCCUUGGGAGUUUGAACGAUCCUCUAAUCGCCUCCUACGGUGAGAUUUAAUCCGGGAGUU
This is a long non-coding RNA of Scylla paramamosain (green mud crab), 1532 nucleotides long. RefSeq lists it as uncharacterized. The transcript is spliced from 6 exons. Lineage: Eukaryota; Metazoa; Arthropoda; Malacostraca; Decapoda; Portunidae. The record is from RefSeq and is a predicted model, not a curated record.